UACGUAGGUGGCAAGCGUUGUCCGGAAUUAUUGGGCGUAAAGCGCGCGCAGGCGGUCCUUUAAGUCUGAUGUGAAAGCCCACGGCUCAACCGUGGAGGGUCAUUGGAAACUGGGGGACUUGAGUACAGAAGAGAAGAGUGGAAUUCCACGUGUAGCAGUGAAAUGCGUAGAUAUCGAGAGGAACACCAGUGGCGAAGGCGAGUCCCUGGACAACUCCUGACGCUGAGGCACGAAAGCUAGGGGAGCAAACAGG
Molecule: ribosomal RNA, 253 nt
Filed under: uncultured bacterium
Lineage: Bacteria
Description: partial 16S ribosomal RNA
Rfam family: Bacterial small subunit ribosomal RNA
Source: RNAcentral